RNAcentral lists this ribosomal RNA (816 nucleotides) under Virgibacillus halodenitrificans. RNAcentral's name for it is "bacterial SSU rRNA". It matches the Rfam family "Bacterial small subunit ribosomal RNA", at positions 66 to 860 of the family's 1533-position model. Lineage: Bacteria; Bacillati; Bacillota; Bacilli; Caryophanales; Bacillaceae. The record is from RNAcentral.
GCUGAUCCUCUUCGGAGGUGACGCUUGUGGAACGAGCGGCGGACGGGUGAGUAACACGUGGGCAACCUGCCUGUAAGACUGGGAUAACCCCGGGAAACCGGGGCUAAUACCGGAUAAUACUUUUCAUCACCUGAUGGAAAGUUGAAAGGUGGCUUUUAGCUACCACUUACAGAUGGGCCCGCGGCGCAUUAGCUAGUUGGUGAGGUAACGGCUCACCAAGGCAACGAUGCGUAGCCGACCUGAGAGGGUGAUCGGCCACACUGGGACUGAGACACGGCCCAGACUCCUACGGGAGGCAGCAGUAGGGAAUCUUCCGCAAUGGACGAAAGUCUGACGGAGCAACGCCGCGUGAGUGAUGAAGGUUUUCGGAUCGUAAAGCUCUGUUGUUAGGGAAGAACAAGUGCCGUUCGAAUAGGGCGGCACCUUGACGGUACCUAACCAGAAAGCCCCGGCUAACUACGUGCCAGCAGCCGCGGUAAUACGUAGGGGGCAAGCGUUGUCCGGAAUUAUUGGGCGUAAAGCGCGCGCAGGCGGUCCUUUAAGUCUGAUGUGAAAGCCCACGGCUCAACCGUGGAGGGUCAUUGGAAACUGGAGGACUUGAGUACAGAAGAGGAGAGUGGAAUUCCACGUGUAGCGGUGAAAUGCGUAGAGAUGUGGAGGAACACCAGUGGCGAAGGCGACUCUCUGGUCUGUAACUGACGCUGAGGCGCGAAAGCGUGGGGAGCGAACAGGAUUAGAUACCCUGGUAGUCCACGCCGUAAACGAUGAGUGCUAGGUGUUAGGGGGUUUCCGCCCCUUAGUGCUGAAGUAACGCAU